Molecule: long non-coding RNA, 2311 nt
Organism: Acinonyx jubatus (cheetah)
Lineage: Eukaryota; Metazoa; Chordata; Mammalia; Carnivora; Felidae
Exons: 4
Source: RefSeq, a predicted model, not a curated record
GCCACCCGAAAGGGCUGGGCGGCCGGCGCGCGGUGACCGCGCGGCGUGAUGCGCUGGGCUCUGUCGCGCUGCAAGCUCUCUGCCCGCCGCCAACCUUGUGACGCCGCAGGACGCUGAAAGGGACUGUGUAGGUGAAUAAGAGCCCUGGCGUGUCGAUGCCACAACACUGUCUCUGGAUCUAAGGAAACACGUGAAACGUAUGGUUUGAAACAUCCUGGGUCACCCUGGAUCUCAAUAGCAGAAAGUUGCUCAAGGAGGAUUUAGGGAAAGAGGAAGAGAGGCCUUCUGUUUCAACAGCUGUACAGGCUACUUAGUAUCUGUUACCUUGUUUAGGCCCCCAGGCACUUCACCAUCAUCUCCAGUUUGUAAAUGCAGAACCUGAGAUUUACAUAAAUGAAGCGACCUGCCCCAAACAAUACAGUGUUCUGCAGAACAAAAUUUCCUCCAUAUAAAAUGUACCUACCAACUUUAUAAAAUAGAUCUGAGAAGUGAAAGAAGUGGGAAUAAGAAUCAAGGAAGUGGAAGAUUUUUAGCCUCCUCCAAUUUCCAACUGGCAGAAUGUGUGGAUGUUAAUCAACCUCUCAAAGUUGAGAUGAAAUUGAGAGACUUUCACAAUCUGCCCUACCGAAGCCGUAAAUCGAGUUCUAAGUCACUUGAGGGCAGAUUAUUAGGAUGGGCUACGGGUACCUAAUUUUCUUUUUGUUUUACGUCAAACAUCAAUUGGACAAAAAGUAACGUUUGAAUGUUAUACUGCCUCUAGAGAAACGCAAAACAAUUCACUGUAUCACCAAAGUAGUUUUCGAGCAUUUGACACUAAUUUUUGUUAGCCAAUUCUAAAAAACCAGACGUUUCAGAUCAGAGUUUCAACAGUUACAGAAAUUUGUUGUUGCCUUGUCUUAGGACAUGAACAGCCACCAACAGGCACAUGUCAACACACAUCUAGCACGAGAGGGGUCACAAUGAAAGUUUAGUCGUUAUUACCUCUGGGUUUUUCUCCUUGCUUAUUUGUAUUUCCAAAAUGUGCUACAAGGAGUGUACUUCUUUCAUAAUAAUUAUUUCUGCUCAUCAUUCUCCAGGUUGAAAAAAAAGUUUAUGUUUUCCUAUCCAUCCGUUAUGACUACAUCCCACCAUCCGUUAUGGCUAGCAAUAUUGUAUUCGCAUGACACAAAAAACCAAGUGAAAAAUUCAGUGGAGAAAGAAAGAAACUGAUUCUAUAGUCCAAAACCAACAUCAACUGUUUGAACUGGUGCCACUGGCAUUACCUGUGUUUUAAGCCUAUUUUUUCGGCACACGAACUUGGUAAAUGUGGGCCAGGUUUGUUUGAAGUUGGAAUUACGUUGGAAAAUCCAGUGGUGGUAUUUGCGGAACUUAGAAUACAGACAGGCGUUCCAUCAACUCUCGUUGCGUUGUACGUGCUGUCCCAACUCAGCUACUGGUUACUGAGGCUUUGGUUCUCUAAAGGGAUUACACCUGCUGGAUUCAUUCAGGGCCAAGAAACAGCCUAACCUGAGGAUGUCCUGGUCACCUAAAAACAAACCCCGUAUACAGUGUGUAUGCUUGCUUCUGAAUUCCACUGCACAGAAGACAGGCAAAGCAGUCUUCCUUGGGGCUCUGAAGACCAUUGACCCGGGGCAGAAACCACAGCUUCUGUGGCUACGUGGCCAUUGCGGCCGCAGGGAGAGCCGCCGGGAGCACGUUUCUGAGCCGCGCGCUGUCAGUCCAGUCGGUACCUUGGGAAAGGGCCCUCCAGGGACUGGCUGGGAGGGGAGGCAAUCAGGGCAGCGCGACUUUCCCCUGCAGCCAUUCCGCUAUGGAAAUGGAAGACAACCCCGGGAUUUGCCCAAGCGUUCUAGGCUGGAGAUAAUCCCCACUUUGGGGUAUUGCUGCGGUCUCAACGACAACAACAACAACAAAAAAAAAAAAAAAAAAAAAAAAAAAGAAAGAAAGAAAGAAAGAAGGAAAGAAAAAAAGGAACGAGGAAACAUAAAAACGAAUGUUGCAUUCUAAUGUACUGAAGUGAUGUAGGAAAGCAACAGCACUGAAAGCCAGCAGAAGCCCACACAGGGUUUAUUUCCAUCAGACGUCCAAUGAGAAUUCACGAAUAAAUGAGGUCGGCCUGCUUCCGAAACUUGUAGCAAACAAUGGCUCCAUGGGUAAAGCAUAAGGCAAAGCCGCUUCAUUACAUCUACUUGGUAACGCUCAGCCAGAGAAAUGUUUCAUGAGUCAGUGGAUUUCAGCAGAUAUAUUCUUGCAAUGCUGGACGUCAAAAAUAUACAGGGCAGCCAGAUGCGGCUUUCCGAUUAGUUACCUG